Molecule: unclassified non-coding RNA, 329 nt
Filed under: soil metagenome
Description: partial contains 5.8S ribosomal RNA, internal transcribed spacer 2, and large subunit ribosomal RNA
Rfam family: 5.8S ribosomal RNA (bases 1-120)
Source: RNAcentral
GAUGAAGAACGCAGCGAAAUGCGAUAAGUAGUGUGAAUUGCAGAAUUCAGUGAAUCAUCGAAUCUUUGAACGCACAUUGCGCCCCUUGGUAUCCCGAGGGGCAUGCCUGUUCGAGCGUCAUCUCACCACUCAAGCCUGGCUUGGUGUUGGGCGACGUCCCCUUUGGGGACGCGCCUCGAAACGCUCGGCGGCGUGGCACCGGCUUUAAGCGUAGCAGAAUCUUUCGCUUUGGAAGUCGGGGCCCCGUCUGCCGGAAGACCUACUCGCAAGGUUGACCUCGGAUCAGGCAGGGAUACCCGCUGAACUUAAGCAUAUCAAUAAGCGGAGGA